UUAUGUUUUCAUUUAUGAACAAAUUGGAUAGAAUACAUUAAUAUGUACUUAAAUAGAAAUUAUUUAAGAAACAUAGAAUGUUACUGAAGGUUCUAUAAUGUGUUGUUGUUUAUUCAAUUUAAGCAAAUUACUAUGUUUUAUGAUUCCACUACUUAUUGCUGUCGUUAUUGGAGUAAUAUUAUAUAACUUAUUGAAACAAAAUGUCGAUGGAAUACCAUGAAAACUUCAUUAUAUUUCAAGAUACAAUGGCAGCAUAAUGCAAUGGUGCAGCAAUGGCGGCGGCGCGGUCUGCGUGCAGACCACAUACGGUCCACAGUUGUAGCGGG
Long non-coding RNA from Achroia grisella, 326 nucleotides. RefSeq lists it as uncharacterized. Lineage: Eukaryota; Metazoa; Arthropoda; Insecta; Lepidoptera; Pyralidae. The record is from RefSeq and is a predicted model, not a curated record. The transcript is spliced from 3 exons.